Long non-coding RNA from Ictalurus punctatus (channel catfish), 825 nucleotides. RefSeq lists it as uncharacterized. Lineage: Eukaryota; Metazoa; Chordata; Actinopteri; Siluriformes; Ictaluridae. The record is from RefSeq and is a predicted model, not a curated record. The transcript has 3 exons.
UUGUAAAUAAAAUAUUAGUUUUCUAAUGAAAGAAACGAAUAUGUUGACACAAUUAUAUUUUUUAUCUACAACACCGAUUUCACACAUUUAAUCACACACCUUCAGAUCAAAAGGUUUUUAAGAUCAUGAGAAACAUUUCAGUCCAGUGUCCACAAACUUUUGACCGGUAGUGUAUGUGUACCGUUAAUCUGAUAUCUUUUCUACAUUUGUAAAGAACUAGAUAGAUAGAGAGAGAGGAUACAGUAAACACUACAGCUUGAAGAAGUACAUUAAUGUCAUUUUUUAAAAAUUACACAUCAUAAAGUAUAAAUUUUACAUAACAUCCUUCUUCUACCGCAGGCUUAUUUCUAUUGCAGAAAAUUAUGUAGGUGUCACAUGUAUUUGUAAAGAAUUGUGGUUAUUAACUAGCUCACACAGACACAGAAUCACAUUUCUGAAGUGAUAAGAUCAAAAAGUAUUCAUGCUACUUAUUUUAGUUUCAUUUAGUUUCAGGAACGGCAGAAGGCAGCACGUUGUCCGACCGCUGUAGCCCGAGGUUUCCUCACACGCCGACUUCUCCAGACCGAGAACAUCAAACACCUGAGCAAAACCAUUCAGGACUCCAGAGAGGUCAUUGGUUUUUUCCAGGAGGAUACACACCAGAGGAGAGCUUCCUUCACUAUACAGGAACUCAAACUGCAGCACAGAGUCAGAGCACAGCUGCAUGCAGCCAUGUGUGGUGUGCAUAAGAUCUUUUUUGUGUGGCCUGUGAGAGACAGAAUAGCUUUACUGCAACAGGACCGAAAGCUGCACAGUGAGCCGAGGGUGAAAAAACAGGUACACACA